Molecule: long non-coding RNA, 226 nt
Filed under: Physcomitrium patens
Lineage: Eukaryota; Viridiplantae; Streptophyta; Bryopsida; Funariales; Funariaceae
Description: long non-coding RNA (PPAT_LNC006223)
Source: RNAcentral
UUAUGCUUGUUGAGAUUAAUCUAAAGAUUUCUCAGAAUAACUUCAAAUUUUGACUCUUCUUCAUACAUAUAAAUAACAAAUAUCUUUGUACUCAAUUUUCCACCUCUAGUACUAAUGUUCUGAUAUUUUAUUUUGAUAACAAAGAAAGUAUAAUGCCAAAGAUAUAGGUCGUUCAUCUUUGGCAGUCUAGUUUCAAUAUUAUAUGAGCAUACACUUCUCUCUAUAU